CCUACGGGAGGCUGCAGUGAGGAAUAUUGGUCAAUGGGCGCAAGCCUGAACCAGCCAAGUCGCGUGAGGGAUGACGGUCCUAUGGAUUGUAAACCUCUUUUGUCGGGGAGCAAAGCGCGGUACGAGUACCGUGAAGGAGAGUACCCGAAGAAAAAGCAUCGGCUAACUCCGUGCCAGCAGCCGCGGUAAUACGGAGGAUGCGAGCGUUAUCCGGAUUUAUUGGGUUUAAAGGGUGCGUAGGCGGAUUAGUAAGUCAGCGGUAAAAAUGCGGUGCUCAACGCCGUAUCGCCGUUGAAACUGCGGGUCUUGAGUGAGCGAGAAGUAUGCGGAAUGCGUGGUGUAGCGGUGAAAUGCGUAGAUAUACGGAGGAACACCAGUGGCGAAGGCGGAUUGCUGGACAGUAACUGACGCUGAGGCGCGAAAGCGUGGGGAGCAAACAGGAUUAGAUACCCGUGUAGUC
This 460-nucleotide ribosomal RNA is filed under the name uncultured bacterium. RNAcentral's name for it is "partial 16S ribosomal RNA". It matches the Rfam family "Bacterial small subunit ribosomal RNA", at positions 338 to 795 of the family's 1533-position model. The record is from RNAcentral.